Molecule: non-coding RNA, 842 nt
Organism: Paramuricea clavata
Lineage: Eukaryota; Metazoa; Cnidaria; Anthozoa; Malacalcyonacea; Plexauridae
Source: the annotation of a GenBank genome assembly
CACACGAAAGCUUUUAGGGCCUGUUUACAUGGAGGUAGGGUGACCCUAUCAGGAGGGUUACCCUAGCAAGCGGGUCAGAAAAUAGCGAGCGUUUACAUGAGGAGGGUGACCCUACUGCUAGGGCUAUGUUGCCGGAUAGGGUAACCCUACCUAUGCGUGGUCGCUAAGCGGUCUGUAUUAGAUAAAUGGCGCCGAAACGCAAAGUUUUAGCGGCAAGUUGUGCAAUUCUAUUUAUUGGGCCUUUGCUUGCUGCAUUUCAAUGUUGUGGUCUGUUAUUUCCGAGGUUAUUUCAAUAUCGUGGUCUGUUAUUUCAAUGUUGUGGUCUAUUACUCGCAUUGCGUAAAUAAGCGUAAUGUAUUCCUUGAUAUAGUCCAACACAACAGUUUUUCGACAUGUUCGGCUGACCAAGAGCAUUUAUUUUGUUUUUUUGACGUCGAUGAGGAUGCGCCGGAAUUUUGCUUCCUUUUCGCCGUCUUUGAGGACUUUGACAAUUUGUUAUCGAAACAACAUCAUUCCGUUCAUUCGCAGCGUUCUCGUCCAAAGUCAAAGCUUCGUUCUAUGCCUCUGCUUACUUAUUUGUAAAUUGCUUAUCCUUUUUAUUUUCUGGUGUCGUUUAAAAUGCUCGCCAGGCUGAUAUGUUCAUAUGUAUAAUCUAGCGACGCCAUCCUUGUUUGUCUGUCACAGUAGGACGUACAAAACAUGACCCGCUUGCUAGGGUAACCCUACCUGACGCGUUUACAUGGCUUAUGUAAACAAAAAGAUAGCCCUGCUGCUAGGGUCACCCUAUCUGUUUGAUAGGGUAACCCUACCCCUAGGGUAACCCUAGCGCGCAUGUAAACGCU